AAUAUUGGACAAUGGGCGAAAGCCUGACGCAGCAACGCCGCGUGAGGGAUGACGGCCUUCGGGUAGUAAACCUCUUUUAGCAGGGAAGAAGCGUAAGAGACGGUACCUGCAGAAAAAGCACCGGCUAACUACGUGCCAGCAGCCGCGGUAAUACGUAUGGUGCAAGCGUUGUCCGGAUUUAGUGGGCGUAAAGAGCUCGUAGGCGGUUUUUCGCGUCUGCUGUGAAAUCUGGGGGCUCAACCCCCAGCCUGCAGUGGGUACGGGCAGACUAGAGUGCGGUAGGGGAGACUGGAAUUCCUGGUGUAGCGGUGGAAUGCGCAGAUAUCAGGAGGAACACCAAUGGCGAAGGCAGGUCUCUGGGCCGUAACUGACGCUGAGGAGCGAAAGCGUGGGUAGCGAAC
This 401-nucleotide ribosomal RNA is filed under the name uncultured bacterium. Its description in RNAcentral is "partial 16S ribosomal RNA". It matches the Rfam family "Bacterial small subunit ribosomal RNA", at positions 360 to 773 of the family's 1533-position model. The record is from RNAcentral.